CCUACGGGUGGCUGCAGUGAGGAAUAUUGGUCAAUGGGCGAGAGCCUGAACCAGCCAAGUCGCGUGAGGGAGUACUGCCCUAUGGGUUGUAAACCUCUUUUGUCGGGGAGCAAAAGCCGGACGUGUCCGGCUGUGAGAGUACCCGAAGAAAAAGCAUCGGCUAACUCCGUGCCAGCAGCCGCGGUAAUACGGAGGAUGCGAGCGUUAUCCGGAUUUAUUGGGUUUAAAGGGUGCGCAGGCGGAUUUUUAAGUCAGCGGUCAAAUCGUGGGGCUCAACCCCAUCCAGCCGUUGAAACUGGGGAUGUAGAGUGUGCGAGAGGUAUGCGGAAUUCUCGGUGUAGCAGUGAAAUGCGUAGAUAUCGAGAGGAACACUCGUGGCGAAGGCGGGUUCCUGGACAUUAACUGACGCUGAGGCACGAAGGCCAGGGGAGCGAAAGGGAUUAGAUACCCCAGUAGUC
Molecule: ribosomal RNA, 458 nt
Filed under: uncultured bacterium
Lineage: Bacteria
Description: partial 16S ribosomal RNA
Rfam family: Bacterial small subunit ribosomal RNA
Source: RNAcentral